This 513-nucleotide ribosomal RNA is filed under the name Streptomyces lateritius. RNAcentral describes it as "bacterial SSU rRNA". It matches the Rfam family "Bacterial small subunit ribosomal RNA", at positions 335 to 858 of the family's 1533-position model. Lineage: Bacteria; Bacillati; Actinomycetota; Actinomycetes; Kitasatosporales; Streptomycetaceae. The record is from RNAcentral.
GUUCCUACGGGAGGCAGCAGUGGGGAAUAUUGCACAAUGGGCGAAAGCCUGAUGCAGCGACGCCGCGUGAGGGAUGACGGCCUUCGGGUUGUAAACCUCUUUCAGCAGGGAAGAAGCGAAAGUGACGGUACCUGCAGAAGAAGCGCCGGCUAACUACGUGCCAGCAGCCGCGGUAAUACGUAGGGCGCAAGCGUUGUCCGGAAUUAUUGGGCGUAAAGAGCUCGUAGGCGGCUUGUCACGUCGGGUGUGAAAGCCCGGGGCUUAACCCCGGGUCUGCAUCCGAUACGGGCAGGCUAGAGUGUGGUAGGGGAGAUCGGAAUUCCUGGUGUAGCGGUGAAAUGCGCAGAUAUCAGGAGGAACACCGGUGGCGAAGGCGGAUCUCUGGGCCAUUACUGACGCUGAGGAGCGAAAGCGUGGGGAGCGAACAGGAUUAGAUACCCUGGUAGUCCACGCCGUAAACGUUGGGAACUAGGUGUUGGCGACAUUCCACGUCGUCGGUGCCGCAGCUAACGC